This 24-nucleotide small nuclear RNA is filed under the name Arabidopsis thaliana (thale cress). Its description in RNAcentral is "snRNA_19287". The record is from RNAcentral. Lineage: Eukaryota; Viridiplantae; Streptophyta; Magnoliopsida; Brassicales; Brassicaceae.
ACGGGCGAGAGACCGAUAGCGAAC